AGAUUAAACAUAAGAGUUUGAUCCUGGCUCAGAUUGAACGCUGGCGGCAUGCUUUACACAUGCAAGUCGAACGGCAGCACGGAGAGCUUGCUCUCUGGUGGCGAGUGGCGAACGGGUGAGUAAUGCAUCGGAACGUACCGAGUAAUGGGGGAUAACUGUCCGAAAGGAUGGCUAAUACCGCAUACGCCCUGAGGGGGAAAGCGGGGGAUCUUAGGACCUCGCGUUAUUUGAGCGGCCGAUGUUGGAUUAGCUAGUUGGUGGGGUAAAGGCCUACCAAGGCGACGAUCCAUAGCGGGUCUGAGAGGAUGAUCCGCCACAUUGGGACUGAGACACGGCCCAAACUCCUACGGGAGGCAGCAGUGGGGAAUUUUGGACAAUGGGGGGAACCCUGAUCCAGCCAUGCCGCGUGUCUGAAGAAGGCCUUCGGGUUGUAAAGGACUUUUGUUAGGGAAGAAAAGCUGGGUGUUAAUACCAUCUAGUACUGACGGUACCUAAAGAAUAAGCACCGGCUAACUACGUGCCAGCAGCCGCGGUAAUACGUAGGGUGCGAGCGUUAAUCGGAAUUACUGGGCGUAAAGCGAGCGCAGACGGUUAAAUAAGUCAGAUG
Molecule: ribosomal RNA, 607 nt
Filed under: Snodgrassella alvi
Lineage: Bacteria; Pseudomonadati; Pseudomonadota; Betaproteobacteria; Neisseriales; Neisseriaceae
Description: bacterial SSU rRNA
Rfam family: Bacterial small subunit ribosomal RNA
Source: RNAcentral